This is a long non-coding RNA of Equus asinus (donkey), 1726 nucleotides long. The record is from Ensembl. Lineage: Eukaryota; Metazoa; Chordata; Mammalia; Perissodactyla; Equidae.
CUGCCCUGGAGCUCCCCACAGAGAGGCUCUGGUCUUCUCUGUCCCAGGCAUGACAGCUAAUACUCUUCCUUUUCCUGCCCUGUCAUUUCCCUCCUCCUCAAACACAGAUUUUCUUUCCUUAGACACGAUUUCUUCCGCUGUGUUAGUCAGAGCCUUGUGGUGUUUGUUUAAAUAAACAAAUCCGUCAUGAAUAUGAUAUGAAAGAAGACUGGACCUUCAGGCUGACUGAUGACGAACAUGAUGAGUUUCUUAAGGCAAAUCAGUCUUUUCCUCUUCAAAGGAGUCAGUUUUACUGGAAGUACUACAUAUAAUUAAUUACAUAUGCAUUAAUAUCAUGCUGACAGAAAAACAAAAAAGGAAUGUGUUGCCACACAGAAGAUGCAGAACCACUUUUAUGGCCGAAGUGGAACCAUGGUGUGAUACAGCUUCAAGUGAUCUUAAAGAUCAUCUGGCUCUUGAGCAUCCAGUGAAAAGUGGCUUCCUUGGUCUGAAGGUUUGGCCUGUCUAAGACAUUUAGUUAAAAUCAGUGUUUUGCAUCUUUGAUCAGAACAUGUGAACAAAUAGGACAAUUUGGCUUUCUCACAUAGCCACCACCAGCUUCCUUAAAUGACUGUUGCCAGGUGUCACCCUAGCAGGACUGAGCCAUUAAUCAUGGCAAAUGAAGCCGCAGGUAAUUAAGUAUGUAAUUUUGAGCUGUUCAAGUGAAAUUCCAUAGAAGGUACAUCAUGAACUGGGGUAUCAUGUAGAAUUACCAGCAAAAAGACACUGAGUGUGAAUACGGUCUUUCACUAACGUUUGAUUCACAUCCAAUCCUUGUAUGUUGAUCACUGAGAGUGUUAGUUUCUAUGUGAGCCUGGACUCAUGUGGUCUUCACAGGUAUAGAUUUAUGAUUGGGUAAGCCAGGUCACAUGCCCUUGUCUCACUAUGCCUCUCGGUUAUAAUGAGAGUCCGCGAUCCUCAGGAAGGGGGAGCAGUAGGAUUCUGCAGAGCAGCAGGAGGCAGCGGCCAAGGGGCUGGAGGAACAGCUGGACUGCAUAGGUGCCCUUACCCAGGGCAGUGGGACAGAGCAAGGCUGGGGGUCAGAGAGUGAGGCCAACCAGUGAUCCAGGCAACCUUGGUGCCAGGACACCUUGCAGUGGAUGGCAUGUGGCAGUGAGAAGCCACUGUCCUCCUCCCUCCCUCCAGGCCAUCUCAGCAGCAGUGGUCCGAGACUCAGGGAAGAGCCAGCAGUGAACAACACUGGCCCUGGGGGGUACUGGACAUGGGACCAAAGAUGUCUCAAGGGCAGUACCAAGUGGCAAAGCUGGAAGAUGGAUCAACAGACAAGAUUAGGAGAGAGAAGUAUCUGGUCUUAGUGGCAAAGGCCAAGGCUAAAGCAACAGAACAGGAGUGAGAGAAUUCAGGAGGUUGGAGCAAAUGUUAGGGCCAUGGAGAGACCACUUGUGGUUUGGAGCUAAGCCACUGAACUGAAGCUCCCAUGACAGUCUAUAGCCUUGGGUCUAGGUGGAGAGGACAGUGACAUUUCCAGGGGGAGAAAGGUCAUAAGUCACUGCAGAGUGAAUCCAGAGCCCUAGGAUUCCCAGAAAGCCUUUCACCUGUGCCCAGGAACCUGGGAAGCAGGAGCUGGCUUCCUGCAGGAGGGGUCGGAGAACUGGGCAGGGCACUCAUCCCCAGCUCCAGCCAUGAAUGGUGACUGGGGAGAGAGUCAGGCCACAGUCAUAGGGAG